AGAAAUCUCUCCCUGAUUCACAUUAAUCCAGUGCUGCACACACUCUGAUAUCACAACACUGUGGUGCUACUCUGUAAUGGCUCCUUCUGUCCAUUCACUUCCCUUCACCUAUAAUGAACCUGCUGCACAGGUGACAACUAGUCCUGCUAAUAUUUUACCCCUCGAAUAGGCAGAGCAUGGAAAAGAGAGGAUUUAUUUUAGGUAGAUGGCAAACUAUACUCUUCCUCCACUAGAUGGCGACACUUCAUGAACAUCUAACUGAAUCAGGGAAACCUGAUGACUCAGUCAAAAGUGAUGUACACUAUUAAUGCAAUUGUGUGGUCACGCCUACUAAUUACUGAGGGAACACACUACAAUGUGGAGUGCAGGGAACUGGAGGACCAGGACUGGGAAACACUGGUAAACCAUUCAAUACUGUGGAGACUCAACAUUCACUUACAGAG
Non-coding RNA from Electrophorus electricus (electric eel), 443 nucleotides. NCBI's taxonomy places the organism in Eukaryota, Metazoa, Chordata, Actinopteri, Gymnotiformes, Gymnotidae. The record is from RefSeq and is a predicted model, not a curated record.